Molecule: ribosomal RNA, 433 nt
Filed under: uncultured bacterium
Lineage: Bacteria
Description: partial 16S ribosomal RNA
Rfam family: Bacterial small subunit ribosomal RNA
Source: RNAcentral
AGCGAACGCUGGCGGCAGGCCUAACACAUGCAAGUCGAACGGAUCCUUCGGGAUUAGUGGCGGACGGGUGAGUAACACGUGGGAACGUGCCCUUUGGUUCGGAACAACUCAGGGAAACUUGAGCUAAUACCGGAUGUGCCCUUCGGGGGAAAGAUUUAUCGCCCUUGGAGCGGCCCGCGUCUGAUUAGCUAGUUGGUGAGGUAACGGCCCACCAAGGCGACGAUCAGUAGCUGGUCUGAGAGGAUGAUCAGCCACACUGGGACUGAGACACGGCCCAGACUCCUACGGGAGGCAGCAGUGGGGAAUCUUGCGCAAUGGGCGAAAGCCUGACGCAGCCAUGCCGCGUGAAUGAUGAAGGUCUUAGGAUUGUAAAAUUCUUUCAGCGGGGACGAUAAUGACGGUACCCGCAGAAGAAGCGCCGGCUAACUUCGUG